GCCCACUUCCUUAAUGAAGAAAUGGGGCACUCAGAGAGGCUUCUGUUCUCCCACAGGGUCCUGCUGGGUUUCAACCUGUAGCCCAAGUGGAAUCACCUUCUAAAGAGACUGCAACCAUAACUACAGGACAGUUACGUACAGGACGGCCCUCCUCUGUUACACACUUGGAUGAAAACUUGACUGCCACGUUGGCCUCAAUUGUUCACAACCAUGCUAAAGCGGAAGCAAACACACCUUGAGAUCUCAGUGCUCCUCGUCUGGACCCCUGCUUAGAUUCAGUGAGCAUUUUAGAGGGACUGGAGCCUGGCUGCCUCAGACCAGGCACCGUGAAGGGGUGAGAAAUGAACCUUUUGUUCCUGUAAAGCUAGAUUCCUGAUGCUCCAGGUGGAGAAAAAUAGCCAUCGCCAACCUCAUGCUAAGAAAAGGCUUAGACCUUGAUUUACCCUCAGUCUUGUGUAGUGAAUUCAUCUUUGUGUUUUAUUUGUUCUUUUUUUUGUACUUAUUAAUACUUGAAUUUAUUGGUGGAACAGCAUGAUGAUACAUAAUAUUCCAAACAUGUAUAAGUGAGACUGCACAAAAUUUCCAUCUGAGACUCUGUGUCUUGAGAAAAUAAAUUAUAAUCAUGUUCUA
Long non-coding RNA from Bubalus bubalis (water buffalo), 630 nucleotides. RefSeq lists it as uncharacterized. The transcript has 2 exons. NCBI's taxonomy places the organism in Eukaryota, Metazoa, Chordata, Mammalia, Artiodactyla, Bovidae. The record is from RefSeq and is a predicted model, not a curated record.